UAGCUACCACUUACAGAUGGACCCGCGGCGCAUUAGCUAGUUGGUGAGGUAACGGCUCACCAAGGCAACGAUGCGUAGCCGACCUGAGAGGGUGAUCGGCCACACUGGGACUGAGACACGGCCCAGACUCCUACGGGAGGCAGCAGUAGGGAAUCUUCCGCAAUGGACGAAAGUCUGACGGAGCAACGCCGCGUGAGUGAUGAAGGUUUUCGGAUCGUAAAACUCUGUUGUUAGGGAAGAACAAGUACCGUUCGAAUAGGGCGGUACCUUGACGGUACCUAACCAGAAAGC
Molecule: ribosomal RNA, 291 nt
Filed under: Bacillus sp. BTSI33
Lineage: Bacteria; Bacillati; Bacillota; Bacilli; Caryophanales; Bacillaceae
Description: partial 16S ribosomal RNA
Rfam family: Bacterial small subunit ribosomal RNA
Source: RNAcentral